This 20-nucleotide ribosomal RNA is filed under the name Caulerpa taxifolia. RNAcentral describes it as "partial 18S ribosomal RNA". The record is from RNAcentral. Lineage: Eukaryota; Viridiplantae; Chlorophyta; Ulvophyceae; Bryopsidales; Caulerpaceae.
ANCUGCGAAAGGAUCAUUAU